GAUGAACGCUGGCGGCGUGCCUAAUACAUGCCAGUCGAGCGAACAGACGAGGAGCUUGCUCCUCUGACGUUAGCGGCGGACGGGUGAGUAACACGUGGAUAACCUACCUAUAAGACUGGGAUAACUUCGGGAAACCGGAGCUAAUACCGGAUAAUAUAUUGAACCGCAUGGUUCAAUAGUGAAAGACGGUUUUGCUGUCACUUAUAGAUGGAUCCGCGCCGCAUUAGCUAGUUGGUAAGGUAACGGCUUACCAAGGCGACGAUGCGUAGCCGACCUGAGAGGGUGAUCGGCCACACUGGAACUGAGACACGGUCCAGACUCCUACGGGAGGCAGCAGUAGGGAAUCUUCCGCAAUGGGCGAAAGCCUGACGGAGCAACGCCGCGUGAGUGAUGAAGGUCUUCGGAUCGUAAAACUCUGUUAUUAGGGAAGAACAAAUGUGUAAGUAACUAUGCACGUCUUGACGGUACCUAUUCAGAAAGCCACGGCUAACUACGUG
This 497-nucleotide ribosomal RNA is filed under the name uncultured bacterium. RNAcentral's name for it is "partial 16S ribosomal RNA". It matches the Rfam family "Bacterial small subunit ribosomal RNA", at positions 28 to 507 of the family's 1533-position model. The record is from RNAcentral.